AUGAGUUUAGGGAGAUUGGGAUGGAGAUGGAGGUAUCAGAAUGGACAUGGCAUCUCUUCCCCACCAAAGAUUCCUGCUUCCCUGGAAAGAGAAAAUCGCAGGAGCAAUUUUCCACCAAGGAAAAUAUAUGAUUUGGGAGAGAGUUCUGGACCUGGAGUAGAAGAUCUGAGUUUAAAAAGUCUGUCUCAGACACUUACUAUGUGACCUUGGACAAGUCACAUUCUAUUUGCCCCAGUUUCUUCAUUUGUUAAAUGAUAAUAAUAACAUCUACAAUCCAGUGGUACCUCCCUACCAGUGGUGGUUGUGAGGAUAAAAUUGAUAAUAUUUUUUAAAUGCUUUGUAAAUUUUCCAAUGCUACAUAAAUGCUAUU
RNAcentral lists this long non-coding RNA (370 nucleotides) under Monodelphis domestica (gray short-tailed opossum). RNAcentral's name for it is "lncRNA (ENSMODG00000033866.2)". Lineage: Eukaryota; Metazoa; Chordata; Mammalia; Didelphimorphia; Didelphidae. The record is from RNAcentral.